Mustela lutreola (European mink) is the source of this 786-nucleotide long non-coding RNA. RefSeq lists it as uncharacterized. NCBI's taxonomy places the organism in Eukaryota, Metazoa, Chordata, Mammalia, Carnivora, Mustelidae. The transcript is spliced from 5 exons. The record is from RefSeq and is a predicted model, not a curated record.
GAUCCGCUGUUUAUCCCAGCCCCGGCACUGCUUCCUGUGUUGUUCUUCCUCUUGAGGAAAGAGGGGGGUGCUAAAGAUCUCCCCGCACACCCUUGCGCUCGCCGGCCACCGCAGCAGGUGUCCCCAGGGUUGCUGAUGGCUCCCUUGCACUCGCCCUUCCUGAAGAGCAGUUUGGCAGCCAAGGCACCUGGAGUUAUCGGAAUGUCCUGGAUGGAUGGCCAGGCGGCUUUCCCCCGCGAAGAAAGUAUCUGUAUGCUGUCCAUUUGGAGCUGUCCACGGGGCCCCUGGUUCCCUCUAUGACCCACCUUGACCAUUUUAUCAAGAUUGUGUGAUUGGCAGGUCUUCAGAAGGACCUACCCGAAGAACCUUGAAUUCACAGAAGCCACCUGGAACAGCAAGAGGAGUCUGCUUUCGUGUUCCUGCAGCCUUUCUAGUCUCUUCCUUCAGGAUCGUUGAGCCAGUGCCCUGGGGUGUCGUAUUGCCUUCCCAACGAAUCUCAUAAGAUUGCUCUAAAAAUCCAGUGGAAUGAUGAUUAUGCAAGUCCCCGGCUCCAAGAUGUCCUCUGCAUUUAUAUUACAGCAGCAUACUAUAGGAAACCGGGACUGUCAUUUGGAAAGGAUGUCACCAUCCACAACAUCCCUCUGUGUUUUCCCCCUUCUGGCUGGAAGAGCAUCCAUCAUCCCUACUCCUUUAUGCUUAUAUAACGUCUCCACACUUCGCUCAGUUUCGAUGGAAGAUGCGAGAAUAUUUGCUCCAGUUUUUUUUCUUAAAGAACUCUGUACUGUC